UACGUAGGUGGCAAGCGUUGUCCGGAAUUAUUGGGCGUAAAGCGCGCGCAGGCGGUUUCUUAAGUCUGAUGUGAAAGCCCACGGCUCAACCGUGGAGGGUCAUUGGAAACUGGGAAACUUGAGUGCAGAAGAGGAAAGUGGAAUUCCACGUGUAGCGGUGAAAUGCGUAGAGAUGUGGAGGAACACCAGUGGCGAAGGCGACUUUCUGGUCUGUAACUGACGCUGAGGCGCGAAAGCGUGGGGAGCAAACAGG
This 253-nucleotide ribosomal RNA is filed under the name uncultured bacterium. RNAcentral's name for it is "partial 16S ribosomal RNA". It matches the Rfam family "Bacterial small subunit ribosomal RNA", at positions 524 to 776 of the family's 1533-position model. The record is from RNAcentral.